RNA transcript from Dipodomys ordii (Ord's kangaroo rat), 5585 nucleotides. It is a transcript of the gene named zinc finger, BED-type containing 6, with no coding region annotated. The transcript is spliced from 4 exons. NCBI's taxonomy places the organism in Eukaryota, Metazoa, Chordata, Mammalia, Rodentia, Heteromyidae. The record is from RefSeq and is a predicted model, not a curated record.
UUCCUAUGGGGAAGGCCCUUAUUGUUGACAUCUUCCAGACUUUGGUUCUGGACCUUGAGAAAGGAGGCUGUGGAACUAGUAAUAGCGAUGCUUUUUAGGGUAAAUGUGUGUAGGUAUUGGGGAGAAGGGAGGGAGCAGUGAUAAAAGACAUGGAGGUGGGUUGAAGCUUCUAUUUCAGUUUUUGCUGUUCAUCUAAUGGUCAAUUUGUGAGUUACCUUAUUUACAGGUUUUGUUUACAGGUUUUAAAGCUUGCUUCAGUUUUAGAAAAAAGUAUUAACUCGGGAUAAAAAUGAAUUUUUAAUGCAGCUUGUGACCUUGUAAAAAUUUUUUAACUCCAAAGAAUUUUUGUUCAGCCACUUAUAUUUUUUAAAAUUGUAUUACUGUAGUCAGAACUCAAAGGGUUCAACUAGCAGUUAUGUUAAUGACCAGUAUGUGGAGUCUGAUUUAGCUUUCCAGAAUUGACUUUUUGAGUUGUAUUGGCAAAUCAUUGUCCUAAAUGAUGAAUGUUGAAUGAUGCACUAUGUUUUUGUUUAAAUGAAAUUUCCUGAAAAUAAUUAAUUUCAGAAUUAAGGGAAAAUCGAUAUUGCUAUCAGGAGGAGUCAUAAAAAUAAUGUAUUUUAAGAACUGAAGGCAUUUCAAACAGAUAAGAGUUGUUGAUAAAGCAGAACAUGAACCUGAGAUUUGGAAGACCUGGCUUUUCUAGCUGCCACUAACCAACUCUAUGACCGUGGGAAAGUGGGCCUCAGUUCUUCUUUCUAUAACAUGAGAGCACUGGACUGCUUAAAUUCAGAACUCAGAAAGCUAGAAGGGAUCUUAAAGCCCUCUAAGAAAGAGCUUAGGGAUGUUCUCCAUUGCUGCUAUUUUUCCUCCAGAAAUAACCUGCCUUGGAAGUCAUUGGUCCCAAGGGAAUUUGACUUUCCCUAGAAAUUGGAGAAAAGGUAAUGCAAGUAGAGAGGAACAACAGUAUUUCUGCAUGAAUAGUAAAGCCACCAUCAGAUUCUGGUUUGAAUUUUGGAGCCAUAAAGAGAAUGAGUAUAUGCACUCUAAGUGUACCAGUUUCCUCACUCUCUCCUAGUAGAAGAUACAGCUCUUUUAGUGGUGCUGGGGUUCUGGGAUGUGUUUCCAUUAAUUCUAAUACUGAUGAAGAAGAUGUGGUAGAGGAAAAUAUGGUGGCAGGAGUGGAUAAAGAGGCAAAAUUGCCUGCUAAAAAGAAAAGAAAGAAGGGUUCUCGAAUUAAAGGAAAAAGACGUCGGAAAAAAUUGGUCCUUGCCAAAAAAUUUAAUAAGGAUUUGGGAUCUGGGAAGCCUGGUGCCGAUACCCCUACUUUGACAGCUUCUAGUGCCCCUGAGCCAGAUGAAGAAAGUCUUUUUGAGAGCAAUAUAGAAAAGCAGAUCUACCUACCUAGUACCAGAGCCAAGACUUCUAUUGUGUGGCAUUUCUUUCAUGUGGACCCCCAGUACACUUGGCGGGCUAUUUGUAACCUCUGUGAAAAAAGUGUCAGCAGGGGUAAGCCUGGCAGCCAUCUUGGUACUUCUACUCUUCAACGACAUCUGCAGGCAAGACAUUCACCUCACUGGACCAGGGCCAACAAAUUUGGAGUCACUAGUGGGGAGGAGGACUUUACAUUGGAUAUGUCUUUGUCUCCCUCUUCUCCUGGAAGCAAUGGAAGCUUUGAAUAUAUUCCUACUGAGUCAUUAGAUGAUAAUAGAAUGGGUAAGAAACGUGAUAAAUCCACAUCUGAGGCCCUAAGGGCAGAAAGAGGGAGAUUUCUCAUUAAAAGUAACAUUGUCAAGCAUGCCUUAAUUCCUGGAACCAGAGCCAAGACAUCUGCAGUUUGGAAUUUUUUUUACACUGAUCCUCAGCAUAUCUCAAGAGCUGUGUGCAAUAUAUGUAAAAGAAGUGUGAGCCGGGGUAGACCGGGUUCCCACUUAGGAACUUCAACACUUCAACGACACCUGCAGGCCACACAUCCCAUCCACUGGGCUGUUGCCAACAAAGACAAUGGUGCUAUUGGAAAUGGAUUAGAUGACACUGAGAGUGAGAGCAAUGAGCUCUUGAAUGACACUUUGAAUGGAGAAAAGUCUACAGGCAGCCAAGAUUUAAUAGCUGAGGACCUCAGUGACUCUGAAUCAGAUGAACCUCCUGCUUUAGAUGUUGAAAAUAGAUCUGAGAGUCCUAUUCCUGUUGUAGAGCAAGAUAAUGUGAUGCAUACAGAAGAAAGGGAAACAACAUGUGAAAAUUCAACCUCAAGUCAAAUAAGUCAGGCAAUUAUUCAAAUGAUUGUAGAGGAUAUGCAUCCUUAUAACUACUUUUCAACUCCAGCUUUUCAAAGGUUCCUACAGAUUGUGGCUCCAGACUACAGGUUGCCAUCAGAGACUUAUUUUUUCACUAAAGCUGUGCCUCAGUUAUAUGACGCUGUCAGAGAAAAAAUUUUCUUAACCUUGGAGAAUGUUCAAAGUCAAAAGAUCCAUCUCACCGUUGACAUAUGGACCCAUGACCCAUCUACUGACUAUUUUAUUGUCACUGUACACUGGGUCUCUUUAGAAGCUUCAUCUUCUCUCAGUAACAGUGGCAUCCCUGAUUUUAGAAAGUGGGCAGUGCUCUGUGUCACAGGUUUGGCCAAAGACUGUCUGGUAACCAACAUUUUACAAGAACUAAAUGACCAGAUUGGUCUGUGGCUUUCUCCUAAUUUUCUUAUCCCUAGCUUCAUUGUUUCUGACAAUUCUUCUAAUGUGGUACAUGCAAUCAAAGAUGGUGGUUUUACUCAUGUGCCAUGCUUCCUGCAUUGUUUAAAUAUAGUCAUUCAGGACUUUUUCUGUGAGCACAAAAGCAUUGAGAAUAUGUUAGUGGCUGCUAGGAAAACUUGUCAUCAUUUUAGUCAUUCUGUCAAGGCCCGUCAGAUACUGCAAGAGUUUCAAAAUGAUCAGCAGCUUCCAUGGAAGAAUUUGAAGCAGGAUGAAACUGGUCACUGGAUUUCCACUUUUUAUAUGUUAAGAUGGCUCUUGGAGCAUUGCUACUCAGUUCAUCACAGUCUUGGUAGAGCUAGUGGAGUUGUUCUCACUUCCCUUCAGUGGACUCUAAUGACAUAUGUUUGUGAUAUUCUUAAGCCAUUUGAAGAGGCUGCCCAGAAAGUGAGUGUAAAGACCACAGGAUUGAAUCAGGUGUUGCCCCUAAUCCACCAUCUACUCCUCUCUCUGCAGAAACUCAGAGAAGAUUUUCAAGUCAGAGGUAUUGCUCAGGCCCUCAGUCUGGUGGACAGUUUAUCUUUGAAACUGGAAACAGAUACCCUACUUAGUGCCAUGCUCAAAUCCAAGCCCUGUAUCUUGGCUACUUUGUUAGAUCCUUGUUUUAAAAACAGUUUUGAAGACUUUUUUCCUCAAGGUGCUGAUUUUGAAACAUACAAACAGAUUCUUGCAGAAGAGGUUUGCAGUUAUAUGGAAUCUUCACCAGAGGCAUGCCAAAUUGCAACUUCAGAAGCAUCUGGUCCAUUAGUUACAGUAGGAGCUGAUUCAUUUACCUCAUCCUUAAAAGAAGGCACCUCCAGUUCAGGUUCCAUGGAUAGCUCAGCUGCAGACAGUGUUACCAUUGGAAGCAAAGGCUUCAUGUUCCCUUCUGCUAAAGCAGUAGUGGAUGAGUACUUCAAAGAGAAGUAUUCAGAGCUCUCAGGAGGUGAUGACCCUUUGGUUUACUGGCAGAGGAAGGUGAGCAUAUGGCCGGCUUUGGCCCAAGUUGCCAUUCACUAUCUAAGUUGCCCUAUGUGUAGUUGGCAGUCUGAAUGUAUGUUUACUACAAAUAGCCACUUUCAUCCAAAGCAGAUCAUGAGUAUGGACUUUGACAAUAUAGAACAGCUAAUAUUUCUGAAAAUGAACUUGAAAAAUGUUAGCUAUGAUUACUCUACAUUGAUUCUGAGCUGCUAUCCAGAGAAUAAGGUUGCUCAAAGCAAUGAAAAAGAAAUAGUACAUUAAUUUCUUUUUCCUUUCUCUAUUUAAAAUGAGCAAUAUUACUAUAUCCUUUAUUACUAUAGUUCCAAUGUAUAGGUAUACUAAUUAUUUAAAAAUACAGCUGGACAUGGUGACACAUGUCUAUAGUCCCAGCUGCUUGGGAAGCAUAGGCAGGAGGAUUACUUGAGCCCAUGAAUUCGAGACCAGCCUGGGCAACAUAGCGAUACCCCAUUAAAAGUAAAAUAAAAAACACAAAAGCUGGGGAAGCCUGAAAAUUCCUCAGAGACAGUAUAGUGUUGAGCAAAUGAAGGUUAACUUUAAAUUUUUUUCAGUUUUAACUCAAUGUAGGUAAUACUCACAGUUGAAAGAAAAAUAUUUUUUUAUUAAAAAAAUAUAGUGCAGCAUUGAAAGCUUUGUUUCUGGCUCGGUAUAGAUUGAAUUAGUUUGAAAUAAAACCACCCCAACCUGGGAAGGUUGAUUACUAGAAUCAGUGAAUCGAAACCCUCCUAAGCUGCUGUUCCUCCCCAUCCUCGUUUUACUAGCGCUUUGAGAACCAUGAUGUUUACUUACAAAUUUGCAAGAAGAAACCCAUGAAAUUGUUUUAUAUUUGGAAAUUUCGAAUUACCUCCUCAUACUGGUCAGCUUUAUAAUACCAAAUUGCUGGGUGUGAUAGAAUUACCCUUUGUAUUUAGGAUUAGGUUUGUAUAAAAAGGAAAUAAGAAAAAAAUUAGGAAAAAAAUUUAGUCUUUGAAUUGCCUUUUCCAACCUUUAUAAUAUAGAAUAACAAAGAUAGCGUAGGUGCUCUUUGUAUAGUUUUAUGGCUAAUAAUGCAGUAAAACAUUUGUACAACUGAAAAAGAUUCAGUGAGAUUUGAAAUGUAAGCCCUAUGAGCAUACUUUGACAAACCCAGUAUGAAUUCCCAAAGGUUUAGUUUAGGUGUCUUUUAAAAAGCAUAUUUGGUUCAUAAUACUAUAUUCUUAGCUAACAGUUGUUUGAACACUGUAUUCUUAACUAAAAAUAAGCAGUCAAUAUUUUAAUGGUGAAAAGAAUGAGCUGAUUUCAGUAACCCUCAAAAGUUCCCUGCCGCUCUGAAAGUUCUAUCUCUGUGAUUUGAGUGGGAGGCCAGAAAAUGAUGACUUUUAGUAAAGGUCUCUUCAAAGUUUCAGACUGCAUAACUAAUGUAAGGUCCCAAUUUUUCCUGUUUUUCAUUUUAGAUUUGGGGAUAUUCCCUGCCCAAAAAUUUCCUGGAAAAUUGACUAGUAUUAAGUGCGUAAUAGAUUGGAACUCAGUGAAGACACAGAUGUUCCUGUUGAGAGCAACCAGCUAAUGGUUAUGUUUAAAGACGAAUUCUGUGAUUGAGUUGUCAUUUGGAAGAUUAAACCCAUUUCAAGAGGACUUUGAGCUGGUCCUUACCAUUUGGAAGCAGUGGCUUAUUUCAAAAAGCCACUUCUGGUCAAGAUUGUUCCCAUCAUGCCUAACCAAGGAGAAGACUGCUAUUUUUUUUUCUAUUCAACAUGUACCAAAGGUGACAGCUGCCCUUUCCGUCACUGUGAAGCUGCAUUAGGAAAUGAAACUGUUUGCACAUUAUGGCAAGAAGGGCGCUGUUUUCGACAGGUGUGCAGGUUUCGCCACAUGGAGAUUGAU